This 1348-nucleotide ribosomal RNA is filed under the name uncultured bacterium. RNAcentral's name for it is "16S ribosomal RNA". It matches the Rfam family "Bacterial small subunit ribosomal RNA", at positions 28 to 1381 of the family's 1533-position model. The record is from RNAcentral.
GAUGAACGCUGGCGGCGUGCCUAAUACAUGCAAGUCGAACGCGGGCACUUGUGCCCGAGUGGCGAACGGGUGAGUAAUACAUAAGUAACCUGGCCUUUACAGGGGGAUAACUGCUGGAAACGGUAGCUAAGACCGCAUAGGUAGGGACACUGCAUGGUGACCGUAUUAAAAGUGCUGCAAGGCACUGGUAGAGGAUGGACUUAUGGCGCAUUAGCUGGUUGGUGAGGUAACGGCUCACCAAGGCGACGAUGCGUAGCCGACCUGAGAGGGUGACCGGCCACACUGGGACUGAGACACGGCCCAGACUCCUACGGGAGGCAGCAGUAGGGAAUUUUCGGCAAUGGGGGGAACCCUGACCGAGCAACGCCGCGUGAAGGAAGAAGGAAUUCGUUCUGUAAACUUCUGUUAUAAAGGAAGAAAGGCGGAUGGAGGAAAUGACAUCCGAGUGACGGUACUUUAUGAGAAAGCCACGGCUAACUACGUGCCAGCAGCCGCGGUAAUACGUAGGUGGCAAGCGUUAUCCGGAAUUAUUGGGCGUAAAGAGGGAGCAGGCGGCAGCAAAGGUCUGUGGUGAAAGACUGAAGCUUAACUUCAGUAAGCCAUAGAAACCAGGCAGCUAGAGUGCAGGAGAGGAUCGUGGAAUUCCAUGUGUAGCGGUGAAAUGCGUAGAUAUAUGGAGGAACACCAGUGGCGAAGGCGACGAUCUGGCCUGUAACUGACGCUCAGUCCCGAAAGCGUGGGGAGCAAAUAGGAUUAGAUACCCUAGUAGUCCACGCCGUAAACGAUGAGUACUAAGUGUUGGAAGUCAAAUUUCAGUGCUGCAGUUAACGCAGUAAGUACUCCGCCUGAGUAGUACGUUCGCAAGAAUGAAACUCAAAGGAAUUGACGGGGGCCCGCACAAGCGGUGGAGCAUGUGGUUUAAUUCGAAGCAACGCGAAGAACCUUACCAGGUCUUGACAUACUCAUAAAGGAUCCAGAGAUGGAUAGAUAGUUAUAUGAGAUACAGGUGGUGCAUGGUUGUCGUCAGCUCGUGUCGUGAGAUGUUGGGUUAAGUCCCGCAACGAGCGCAACCCUUAUCGUUAGUUACCAUCAUUAAGUUGGGGACUCUAGCGAGACUGCCAGUGACAAGCUGGAGGAAGGCGGGGAUGACGUCAAAUCAUCAUGCCCCUUAUGACCUGGGCUACACACGUGCUACAAUGGAUGGUGCAGAGGGAAGCGAAGCCGCGAGGCGAAGCAAAACCCAUAAAACCAUUCUCAGUUCGGAUUGUAGUCUGCAACUCGACUACAUGAAGUUGGAAUCGCUAGUAAUCGCGAAUCAGCAUGUCGCGGUGAAUACGUUCUCGGGCCU